This 414-nucleotide long non-coding RNA is filed under the name Penaeus japonicus. RNAcentral's name for it is "uncharacterized LOC122244499". Lineage: Eukaryota; Metazoa; Arthropoda; Malacostraca; Decapoda; Penaeidae. The record is from RNAcentral.
CUGUAUACAAACAUUGUUGUAAAUGGGAUUGGUAAAUUCUCCUUUGGUUAGUCAAUAGGAGCAGACUAUCCAUGGACAGAGAAGUACUACAUAUGGAGUCAUACAAAGAUUUUCGUAUGAAGAACAAAAUUAUUGGAUAUCACAUGAGGAAUUUGAAGUGCGGUUGAAGAGGAACCGAAGAAUAUAGACAACCACACUCAAAAACCCUAUAAAGUUAGAGAAUAAGGAGACUAUGAAUAGAAGAUAUGAAAGAAAUUGCUGGAGAGAGGGAACUGAGAAGAUGAAAAGUGAUCAUAGGUGCUGACAGGAUCAACGAGAUGGGCUCCUUUGUAACUUUGGAUCUUCAGUCCCUGAUGAAGCUUAUUGAGACUUGUCAUAAUUGCAAUUCAGGUAAAUUAAUAAUCUCUCUCACUC